GAUGAACGCUGACAGAAUGCUUAACACAUGCAAGUCAACUUGAACUUCGGUUUGGGUGGCGGACGGGUGAGUCACGCGUAAAGAACUUGCCUCACAGAUAGGGACAACAUUUGGAAACGAAUGCUAAUACCUGAUAUUAUGAUUUUAGGGCAUCCUAGGAUUAUGAAAGCUAUAUGCGCUGUGAGAGAGCUUUGCGUCCCAUUAGCUAGUUGGAGAGGUAACGGCUCACCAAGGCGAUGAUGGGUAGCCGGCCUGAGAGGGUGAUCGGCCACAAGGGGACUGAGACACGGCCCUUACUCCUACGGGAGGCAGCAGUGGGGAAUAUUGGACAAUGGACCAAGAGUCUGAUCCAGCAAUUCUGUGUGCACGAUGAAGUUUUUCGGAAUGUAAAGUGCUUUCAGUUGGGAAGAAAAAAAUGACGGUACCAACAGAAGAAGUGACGGCUAAAUACGUG
This 454-nucleotide ribosomal RNA is filed under the name uncultured bacterium. RNAcentral describes it as "partial 16S ribosomal RNA". It matches the Rfam family "Bacterial small subunit ribosomal RNA", at positions 28 to 507 of the family's 1533-position model. The record is from RNAcentral.